CUGACGUCACCGCGGCCUGCUAGCCCCGCCGGGCCGCGAGCCAAGCAGACGGUGCAUGCGCAGCCGGCCGCGCCACGUCGGAUGCUGUGGCCGAGGGCGCAGGCGGGGGAGGAGGAGAAGGAGAAACCAACUCCAAGUUCUUACUGGAAUAUUUACAGGGUACUGGAGGGGCUCACGGCAUUAAGGAGAAGGCUCCGGCAGCCUCAGAAAGAAAGAAAACUAGGGAAGCUCUGGAAACACCAAUAAACGACCUCUGUCUAGGACGCUGCUGGUGGAUGACUCAGUGUGACGGUUCAUUUCAUGUGUCAGCUUGGAUGGGCUAUAGGGCGCAGGUGUCUGGAGAGCUGAGUGUUCCUUGAGGGUCCAAACAGCAAAGUGCAGGAGCUGAGAGACUGAAAGGAAGUCUGUCCUUAUCAUCAGCCCGAGUGUGGUGGUCAUGGUAGGCAUCUGCUGACCCUGAGCCUCCCUCCUGGAGUCUCUUUUCUGUUCCUAC
Long non-coding RNA from Symphalangus syndactylus (siamang), 493 nucleotides. RefSeq lists it as uncharacterized. The record is from RefSeq and is a predicted model, not a curated record. NCBI's taxonomy places the organism in Eukaryota, Metazoa, Chordata, Mammalia, Primates, Hylobatidae.